Molecule: ribosomal RNA, 125 nt
Organism: Piliocolobus tephrosceles (Ugandan red Colobus)
Lineage: Eukaryota; Metazoa; Chordata; Mammalia; Primates; Cercopithecidae
Source: Ensembl
GCCUACAACCAUACCACCCUGAACGUGCCCGAUCUCAUCUAAUCUUGGCAGCUAAGCAGGAUUGGGCCUGGUUAAUACUUGGAUGGGAGAAAUCAGAGUCUGCGUAAAAAGGUCGAUUGUAUUCA